This is a non-coding RNA of Mycena sp. CBHHK59/15, 91 nucleotides long. NCBI's taxonomy places the organism in Eukaryota, Fungi, Basidiomycota, Agaricomycetes, Agaricales, Mycenaceae. The record is from the annotation of a GenBank genome assembly.
GUGCCAGUGGUGUACGGAACACACACCAUCCUUGUGCCUUGAAAUUGCUCUGCGUUAUGGGGUGAUCGGGGUUCGACUCCCCGCUGGUGCA